GACCAGAGCAAGGCCACCUGAACUCUCCAAUAGACGAUAAACUACAAGGGAUUCACAGGCGGGUACCCCUGUGUGGAAGUAAAGCUGUGUGGAAGUAAAGCUUAUUCUGGGAGCCCAAUCCGAGGCUGGGGUAGGUAGGCGCGGGGCUAGUUAAGCCUUGGGGAAGCGCGGGCUAGGUCGUUGCGCGUCUGCUCCUCCUGGCGUUUUUCCUGCCGCCCUAGUCCUGCUUUGGCCAUGAGGGAGCUCGUACUCAAGCAGACCGAGCAGUGCAGGAACUAGUUUGGCGCCAAGUUCUGGGAGGUGAUCUCUGACGAACAUGCCAUUGACUCCACUGACAGCUACCACGGGGACAGCAACUUGCAUCUGGAGCACAUCAACGUGUACUACAACGAGGCCAGCGGUAGGUAGCCCGCGCUGUGCUCAUGGAUCUGGAGCCGGGCAUCAUGGACUCUGUGUACUCCAGGCCCUUCGGGUGGAUCUUCAGGCUGGACAACUCCAUCUUCGGUCAGUGUGAAGCUAGGAACAACUGGGCCAAGGGGCGCUACACAGAAGGCGCAGAGCUGAUGGAGUGGGUAGUGGACGUUGUGAGGAAAGAGGCUGAGAGCCGUGACUGACUGCAGGGUUCCAGCUGAUUCACUCCCUGGGUGGGGGGACUGGGUCUGGGAUGGGUACCCUUCUCAUCAGUAAGAUCUAGGAAGAAUACCCAGAUAGGAUCAUAAACACAUCCAGUGUGCUGUCCU
RNAcentral lists this long non-coding RNA (740 nucleotides) under Macaca mulatta (Rhesus monkey). Its description in RNAcentral is "lncRNA (ENSMMUG00000055900.1)". Lineage: Eukaryota; Metazoa; Chordata; Mammalia; Primates; Cercopithecidae. The record is from RNAcentral.